RNAcentral lists this ribosomal RNA (253 nucleotides) under uncultured bacterium. RNAcentral describes it as "partial 16S ribosomal RNA". It matches the Rfam family "Bacterial small subunit ribosomal RNA", at positions 524 to 776 of the family's 1533-position model. The record is from RNAcentral.
UACAGAGGUCUCAAGCGUUGUUCGGAUUCAUUGGGCGUAAAGGGCGCGUAGGCGGCGGGGUAAGUCGGGUGUGAAAUCUCAGGGCUCAACCCUGAAACUGCACUCGAUACUGCUCUGCUUGAGGACUGGAGAGGAGACUGGAAUUCACGGUGUAGCAGUGAAAUGCGUAGAUAUCGUGAGGAAGACCAGUGGCGAAGGCGGGUCUCUGGACAGUUCCUGACGCUGAGGCGCAAAGGCCAGGGGAGCAAACGGG